This 518-nucleotide ribosomal RNA is filed under the name uncultured bacterium. RNAcentral's name for it is "bacterial SSU rRNA". It matches the Rfam family "Bacterial small subunit ribosomal RNA", at positions 791 to 1314 of the family's 1533-position model. The record is from RNAcentral.
UAGUCCACGCCCUAAACGAUGCUAACUCGAUAUUUGGAUCUUGAAUCUGAGUGUCUAAGCGAAAGCGAUAAGUUAGCCACCUGGGGAGUACGUUCGCAAGAUUGAAACUCAAAGGAAUUGACGGGGGCCCGCACAAGCGGAGGAACAUGUGGUUUAAUUCGAUGAUACGCGAGGAACCUUACCUGGACUUAAAUGUACGUUGCAUGGAUCAGAGAUGGUCCUUUCUUCGGACUACGUACAAGGUGCUGCAUGGUUGUCGUCAGCUCGUGCCGUGAGGUGUCGGGUUAAGUCCCAUAACGAGCGCAACCCCUAUCCUUAGUUGCCGGCGGAUUAUGCCGGGGACUCUGAGGAGACUGCCACCGUAAGGUGUGAGGAAGGUGGGGAUGACGUCAAACCAGCACGGCCCUUAUGUCCAGGGCUACACACGUGUUACAAUGGACGGUACAAAGGGCAGCUACCUGGCGACAGGAUGCUAAUCUCUAAAGCCGUUCUCAGUUCGGAUCGAAGUCUGCAACCCG